GCAGAUCCAAUUUUCUGCCACCGAAUACAUUAGCAUGGGAUAAUGGAAUAGGACCCUGUCCUCCUAUUUUCAGUUGGUUUUGGCAGCGCGAGGACUAGGGUAAUGAUUAAUAGGGAUAGUUGGGGGCAUUAAUAUUUAAUUGUCAGAGGUGAAAUUCUUGGAUUUAUGAAAGAUUAACUUCUGCGAAAGCAUCUGCCAAGGAUGUUUUCAUUAAUCAAGAACGAAAGUUAGGGGAUCGAAGACGAUCAGAUACCGUCGUAGUCUUAACCAUAAACGAUGCCGACCAGCGAUUAGGAGACGUUGAAUACAAAACACCACCAUCGGUGCGGUCAUCCUUGGCGUUGGGCUUCUCAAGACACCGCGGGGGGGGGUUACUCCGGCGGGACCGGCCAAUGACUCCCCUCCCAAGUUGUGAGAAAGAA
RNAcentral lists this ribosomal RNA (422 nucleotides) under Acanthamoeba genotype T4. RNAcentral's name for it is "SSU rRNA". The stretch from base 1 to 350 matches the Rfam family "Eukaryotic small subunit ribosomal RNA", at positions 780 to 1115 of the family's 1831-position model. Lineage: Eukaryota; Discosea; Longamoebia; Acanthamoebidae. The record is from RNAcentral.